AGGUCCAUCCUAACCCCUGCUAGUCAGCCUGUGGCCCAUCAAGGGUCUCUUGUGGACCAGAGCACCUUAGAAUCUUUGCUUGUAGCAGUGAGCACAGCUUCAGUGGGCUCAUGCCGGGGUGUUUCUAGACACUU
Non-coding RNA from Pteropus alecto (black flying fox), 134 nucleotides. The record is from Rfam. NCBI's taxonomy places the organism in Eukaryota, Metazoa, Chordata, Mammalia, Chiroptera, Pteropodidae.